This 735-nucleotide long non-coding RNA is filed under the name Equus caballus (horse). Its description in RNAcentral is "lncRNA (ENSECAG00000037945.3)". Lineage: Eukaryota; Metazoa; Chordata; Mammalia; Perissodactyla; Equidae. The record is from RNAcentral.
GCCCCACCCACUAGAGCACCAAUUUAAUCCAGCUCAGCCAGGUAGGGCAGCCUGUGCUAGGGAAUGGCCCCAUCCAACAGCAAGCCCUCAGGCAACUUGUGGACCUGCAUAGGCUGGGUGCCUGGACCCUCUGCAAAGGAUGAGCCAGAGAAAAUAAAGUGCAGAGCCCCAGGUCAGAGUAAGUUGCCUUCAUAAUCACAAGACUUGAAUCUGGAAAAUGGCCUGGAAGCUAAUGACAAUCAUCUUGACACCUUCUAGAGUCUGAGAGUGAAAAUGAAGUCAAGAUAAACAAGAGAGUCAAGAGAUGGAGAGAGAUGGGUCCUGGGUGAAAUUCUCUGAGGCUCUAAAUCCAUUUUUGCCUGAUGCAUGAUCCAUUGUAAAAUUUAAACAUCCUGUUUCACUUAAGAAAAAUUUGGUUAGUAUAUCAAUGUGUGUAUGACACAUAACACACACAUCAUACAUACAUAUUAUGUAUAUAUACCUAUAUACACAUGCUGUUCCAUUUACAUUUACUUCUUUUUUUUUUUUUUUUUAGAUUUUAUUUUUUCCUUUUUCUUCCCAAAGCCCCCUGGUACAUAGUUGUGUAUUAAUUCGUUGUGGGUUCUUCUAGUUGUGGCAUGUGGGACGCUGCCUCAGCGUGGUUUGAUGAGCAGUGCUAUGUCCGCGCCCAGGAUUCGAACUAAUGAAACACUGAGCCGCCUGCAGCGGAGCGCGCGAACUUAACCACUCGGCCAC